AUACUUUACCUGGCAGGGGAGACACCAUGACCAAGAAGGUGGUUCACCCAGGGCGAGGCUCAGCCAUUGCACUUCGGCUGUGCUGACCUCUGGAAAUCUACCUUCCUGGUGGAGUCAUACUUGAGGACUUUUUCGAACGUGGACAUGAUUUGUGUCCGG
Small nuclear RNA from Platichthys flesus (European flounder), 159 nucleotides. RefSeq annotates it as U1 spliceosomal RNA. The record is from RefSeq and is a predicted model, not a curated record. Lineage: Eukaryota; Metazoa; Chordata; Actinopteri; Pleuronectiformes; Pleuronectidae. The transcript has a single exon.